AGAGUUUGAUCCUGGCUCAGAACGAACGCUGGCGGCAGGCCUAACACAUGCAAGUCGAGCGCGCCUUUCGGGUGAGCGGCGGACGGGUUAGUAACGCGUGGGAACGUGCCCUUUUCUACGGAAUAGCCUCUGGAAACGGAGAGUAAUACCGUAUACGCCCUUUGGGGGAAAGAUUUAUCGGAGAAGGAUCGGCCCGCGUUAGAUUAGGUAGUUGGUGGGGUAACGGCCUACCAAGCCUACGAUCUAUAGCUGGUUUUAGAGGAUGAUCAGCAACACUGGGACUGAGACACGGCCCAGACUCCUACGGGAGGCAGCAGUGGGGAAUCUUAGACAAUGGGGGCAACCCUGAUCUAGCCAUGCCGCGUGAGUGAUGAAGGCCUUAGGGUCGUAAAGCUCUUUCGCCUGUGAUGAUAAUGACAGUAGCAGGUAAAGAAACCCCGGCUAACUCCGUGCCAGCAGCCGCGGUAAUACGGAGGGGGUUAGCGUUGUUCGGAAUUACUGGGCGUAAAGCGCGCGUAGGCGGAUUAGAAAGUUGGGGGUGAAAUCCCGGGGCUCAACCUCGGAACUGCCUCCAAAACUGCUAGUCUAGAGUUCGAGAGAGGUGAGUGGAAUUCCGAGUGUAGAGGUGAAAUUCGUAGAUAUUCGGAGGAACACCAGUGGCGAAGGCGGCUCACUGGCUCGAUACUGACGCUGAGGUGCGAAAGUGUGGGGAGCAAACAGGAUUAGAUACCCUGGUAGUCCACACCGUAAACGAUGAAUGCCAGUCGUCGGGUAGUAUACUAUUCGGUGACACACCUAACGGAUUAAGCAUUCCGCCUGGGGAGUACGGUCGCAAGAUUAAAACUCAAAGGAAUUGACG
This 859-nucleotide ribosomal RNA is filed under the name uncultured marine bacterium. RNAcentral's name for it is "bacterial SSU rRNA". It matches the Rfam family "Bacterial small subunit ribosomal RNA", at positions 8 to 915 of the family's 1533-position model. The record is from RNAcentral.